Solanum lycopersicum (tomato) is the source of this 1147-nucleotide non-coding RNA. The record is from RefSeq and is a predicted model, not a curated record. NCBI's taxonomy places the organism in Eukaryota, Viridiplantae, Streptophyta, Magnoliopsida, Solanales, Solanaceae.
UGUUUGAUUCCUUAAUUUUUGACUCCAAAGGGGCAUAAAAUCAAAUGUCCUUGUGAGCACAAAUCAAAUGUUCCGAUAUGAAAUCAGACAUCUCUCUAAUCUCUAUUUGUUAGUGCAUCUGAUUGGGUUGAUAUUUGAGAUGUCUUUGUUUUCAAAUGUAAUGAGUAGAUUUCCUUGUUCUGCUGUGUUCCAAAUUUUAUCCAUUAUCCUUCUACGCUAAAUUCACAGGGUUACAAGCUAUAAUUUGUCCAAGAUCCAAGAGUCCUUUGUUCCGCUGCAGGACUUUGAUAAAGGCAAGGAUGGCUAAAUCUCCAAGAACUGUGAGGUUUGCCUCACUAUUUUUCUUAUUAGAUCUUCCAUGAGAUGUCAUGGAUUUCUCACUUGCAAAUAUAGGCUGAAUUACCGAGUUCCAGUGAAUAUUGACAAGUUUAUCAUUAAUUAAUAUGUACAAAGAGGUUGCAAGAGGAUCCGUAAAUCCUAAAUCCUAAACCCUAAACCCUAAACCCUAAACUAUUUCCCACGUAAACAAAAUUGGUACUUUUUUAUUGCUUUAACCCUGAUCUCCCUAGCUACAAUAUAAGCAAUGAUCUAUUCCACCGUAUUUCCCAAAAUAACCAGUCCCAUUCAUAGACCCGUCAAUAAUCAAAACUCUUCCAUGAUCUUACCAAAAAAUCCACUCACAAGAAUCUCCACUCAUAAAUGGUUCCCUCAUACCUCCAUAUCUACUUUCGAUAAAGGAACUAAGCCACCAAACAGAAGCAUGAAGAACAACACACCAAGGAAGCUAACACUAGCAACCUUCUUUGUUUUCACCUCACUCUUCUUUUUCUCCACUUUCUUUCUACUAGUUGAUGCGGGCACUAUUGCCUGUGGUUUCAACUUUGGAAUUGAAACCAAUGUCACUAUCCUAGUUGCUUCAACAUAUAAGGUGGUGUAUAUGACAUCCAUGGAGGAGGAUGGGAAUACAUCCUGGGGGUGGCUGCACUUGAGGAGCUACACCAGUACCUCCAAGUUGUGCAUUUUCUGUUGUUUCGUAGGAUAUAUUUGCAUUCAAAUGUUGAAUUGGUGAAUGAAGUAUUCUAACUCCUCAACAUUAUGUGUUUUUCAUUACCUUGACAAGUGAGCACUUUCCCCUUUUAUCUAGCCG